This 487-nucleotide ribosomal RNA is filed under the name Staphylococcus aureus. RNAcentral describes it as "bacterial LSU rRNA". It matches the Rfam family "Bacterial large subunit ribosomal RNA", at positions 1981 to 2467 of the family's 2925-position model. Lineage: Bacteria; Bacillati; Bacillota; Bacilli; Caryophanales; Staphylococcaceae. The record is from RNAcentral.
UUCCGACCCGCACGAAAGGCGUAACGAUUUGGGCACUGUCUCAACGAGAGACUCGGUGAAAUCAUAGUACCUGUGAAGAUGCAGGUUACCCGCGACAGGACGGAAAGACCCCGUGGAGCUUUACUGUAGCCUGAUAUUGAAAUUCGGCACAGCUUGUACAGGAUAGGUAGGAGCCUUUGAAACGUGAGCGCUAGCUUACGUGGAGGCGCUGGUGGGAUACUACCCUAGCUGUGUUGGCUUUCUAACCCGCACCACUUAUCGUGGUGGGAGACAGUGUCAGGCGGGCAGUUUGACUGGGGCGGUCGCCUCCUAAAAGGUAACGGAGGCGCUCAAAGGUUCCCUCAGAAUGGUUGGAAAUCAUUCAUAGAGUGUAAAGGCAUAAGGGAGCUUGACUGCGAGACCUACAAGUCGAGCAGGGUCGAAAGACGGACUUAGUGAUCCGGUGGUUCCGCAUGGAAGGGCCAUCGCUCAACGGAUAAAAGCUACC